AAUAUUGACUGAAUGUGGACUUAAUUUGAAUAGUAAAAUACAAAUUAAAUACAAUGGUAUUUUACUAUUCAAGUUAAGUCCAUGUUCAGUAAAUAUU
Molecule: non-coding RNA, 97 nt
Organism: Pelobates cultripes (western spadefoot toad)
Lineage: Eukaryota; Metazoa; Chordata; Amphibia; Anura; Pelobatidae
Source: the annotation of a GenBank genome assembly